AUUGAACGCUGGCGGCAGGCCUAACACAUGCAAGUCGAGCGGAGCGGCGGACGGGUGCGUAAUGCCUAGGAAUCUUCCUGGUAGUGGGGGAUAACGUCCGGAAACGGGCGCUAAUACCGCAUACUAUCAGAUGAGCCUAGGUCGGAUUAGGUAGUGGGGGGGGUAAAGGCCUACCAGGGCGAGGAGACGUAACUGGUCUGAGAGGAUGAUCAGUCACACGGGAACGGAGACACGGUCCAUACCCUUACGGGAGGCAGCGUUGGGGAAUUUUUGACAAGGGGCGAAAUCCUGCGCAAGCAAUGCCGCGUGGUUGAAGAAGGUCUUCGGAUGUAAAAGCCCUUUAAGUUGGGAGGCGUUACCAACAGAAUAAGCACCGGCUAACUUCGUGCCAGCCGCCGCGGUAAUAC
This 407-nucleotide ribosomal RNA is filed under the name uncultured bacterium. RNAcentral describes it as "partial 16S ribosomal RNA". It matches the Rfam family "Bacterial small subunit ribosomal RNA", at positions 30 to 526 of the family's 1533-position model. The record is from RNAcentral.